UGCGCGGUUGUGUAAUGGUAGCACACGGGACUUUGGAUCCCGGCGUGGAGGUUCGAAUCCUCCCCGCGCAACCA
RNAcentral lists this transfer RNA (74 nucleotides) under Athalassotoga saccharophila. RNAcentral's name for it is "tRNA-Gln". It matches the Rfam family "tRNA". Rfam says of the family: Transfer RNA (tRNA) molecules are approximately 80 nucleotides in length. Lineage: Bacteria; Thermotogati; Thermotogota; Thermotogae; Mesoaciditogales; Mesoaciditogaceae. RNAcentral also lists the same sequence under 4 other names. The record is from RNAcentral.